AGCAGCCGCGGUAAUUCCAGCUCCAAUAGCGUAUAUUAAAGUUGUUGCAGUUAAAAAGCUCGUAGUUGAAUUUCGGGACCAAUCUGCCGGUCGUGCCUCCGGUAUGCACUGGUUUUAUUGAUUUCUCCCUUCUGACGAAUCAUGAUGUCAUUAAUUUGGUGUCAUGGGGAAUCAGGACUGUUACUUUGAAAAAAAUUAGAGUGUUUAAAGCAGGCUCACGCUUGAAUACAUUAGCAUGGAAUAAUGAAAUAGGACGUUUGACCCUAUUUUGUUGGUUUCUAGGAUCGACGUAAUGAUUAAUAGGGAUAGUUGGGGGCAUUAGUAUUCAAUUGUCAGAGGUGAAAUUCUUGGAUUUAUUGAAGACUAACUACUGCGAAAGCAUUUGCCAAGGAUGUUUUCAUUAAUCAAGAACGAAAGUUAGGGGAUCGAAGACGAUCAGAUACCGUCGUAGUCUUAACCAUAAACUAUGCCGACUAGGGAUCGGAUGAUGUUAUUUUUUAAUGACUCAUUCGGCACCUUA
Molecule: ribosomal RNA, 520 nt
Filed under: uncultured Glomus
Lineage: Eukaryota; Fungi; Glomeromycota; Glomeromycetes; Glomerales; Glomeraceae
Description: SSU rRNA
Rfam family: Eukaryotic small subunit ribosomal RNA
Source: RNAcentral